Brassica rapa (field mustard) is the source of this 3222-nucleotide long non-coding RNA. RefSeq lists it as uncharacterized. Lineage: Eukaryota; Viridiplantae; Streptophyta; Magnoliopsida; Brassicales; Brassicaceae. The record is from RefSeq and is a predicted model, not a curated record.
UGAUCCAACAAAACAGUGAAACACGUUAUUAAUACACAGAACCAAAGGUGAUCUCACUAAUAUGAACUCCAACAAGGCUCUCUCUCUAUCUCAUCCUAGAAGUAUGUGUCUUAACAAGACACUCUUUUGAAUAACUACACAUGACAAAAUAAAGUAAGAGGCUUUAUGUUUGUUAAGGAACCAAUUAAGCUUAAAGUUUCUAUCUUUCUCUUUAAAAAAAAAAAAAAACUUAAUCCAGAUCAGAGUGAAAAGAAAAGAAAAACCAAAUCUUGAGAAACUAUUUCAGAUCCAGAGACAAAAUAGACCAGACCCAUAAACUGAAACUUGAUUUAAACUCAAGAAGAAGAAGAAAAAAAACAGAGUUCUUACCAUAUGCAGUUCUUGAUAAUCUUGCAUAAGGCUGUGAUGCCUAAGGUUGGGAGGAGUUCGAUUCAUCAGGUGAACACAAGAUGUGUAGUUACAGAAUCAAAGAAGGAAAGAGAUGAAGGAGGAUAAGCCCUUGAAAGAAGGAAUGAGAAGAGAGAUAGAGAGAGAGGAAGGUUCUGGGUUUGGUGGUGUUGUAUAUCAAACGGAGAGGAGAAGUCAGAGAAGGACAAAGAAGCAGAAAAGAAGGACACAUCAUCUUGUUGUUGGUGUUGGUGUUGUGAGAGAAAAAAGAAAUAAAAUAAAAGCAAUAUUGCUUUUUUUGGAGGUGUGUUAAGACAGCAGUGAUGAAGAUGGAAGCAGAUUUGUGCAGGGAGUAAGUGUGUGAAAUGACUUCUGCACUAAGUUGUGGUGUUGGGUCAAGUGAAAAGCAACUUCCUUUUUCUCUUUUAUUUUAAUGGGUUUUGUUGGAGACUCUUGAGAAGAAACGUCUCUAUUUUAUUUCUUGUGCUCCAUUGUCGUCUGUAAUUUUUUUUUUUUGUCGUCUGUGAAGUUAUUAACCAUUCAAAGUUUAACACUGGGUCCGUUGAAAAUAGACCGAUGAGAAUGGAGGUUCAAAUAUAAAUCCACGACUUUAUUUAUAGAAAAGUCAGAUAGUGGAAGAGAAAAAGCUAACGUAAUAAGAUUCGCUUUUUGAAGCUAUAGUACUAAGAGUGAUUUACAUUGCAUGGCAAGUUUCAAUAUCACAAUAAGACAGUUAUUGCUACUUGACAGUUUCUGAGUGAAAUAUCUUAACUUGUCCCUGAAAAAGGUGUAAUUGGUGGGGUAAAAUUGGAAAAUGGUUUUUAGUUUUCUAGUUACGUUUUUAAAUUUUAAAAUGAGUGAGUUGACCUAAUGAAAGAGAAUUUAGGAGUUACCAAACGUAUGAAAAAAUAUUGUGUUUUAAAUUUCUAACUUUUGUUGGAAGAAUUUAAAUCUUCAGAAAAUAGUUGCUUACAAUUUCUUUUAGGUUAGAGGAUGAAACAACAGAGAUAGAGGACGUGAUAGGAGAGCUAUCGGAGAAACUAAUUUUUAUAUAUAUAUUUUUUGGUUUUGGGUUCUAAUCUAUUAAUCUAUAUAAUAUGUAUAAGUUCUAGAGGUAAAACACAAAAACAAUGAAAAUUGCAUGAUAAAAAUCAAUGGCGGCUGUGAGUUAUAUUUGCAGGAAACACAGAAAACCCUAAUAGGAAGAAGAUGAACUUAUUACAAAAUUGCCACUCAUUAAAAAAAAAAAUUUGAUGACCACACGGAUGUGUACAUAAUGCUAGUGUACACAUGUUCAUGUACAAGGGUACAUUGGAUGACUACGUAGUACAUAAUGUUAGUGUACGUAUGUAUAUGUGCACCUAAUGUUAGUGUACGUGUGUACAUAAUGUUUGUCUUUGUAAAUAUAAAGAUAAGGAAGUAUGGUUUACGUGAAUUAAACAACAUAAUUAUAUAUGUACAUAUGUAUAUAUUUACAUGUGCACAAACACAACACGUAUAUAUCUUUUACAUGUGUACAUGCAAUGUUCAUAAAAUUGUGUAUUCUCACUAAAAUCUUAAAAUCAUGUUUUAAUUCUUUAAUGCCCUGAAAAAUAAAUUAACUGAACUAAAAUCAAAACCAAAAAUCAUAAGAUAUGAAUAAAACACAAAAUCAUGUGAAAUAUUAAGAAUCAAAAAUAUACAUACGAAAGUAGUUUUGUGUUAUUCAACAUACGUUUGAAGACACGUCCAGAUUUACAAAUGCAUCAGUGUUGUGUUUAGAAAACGUACAAAUGAACCAAAGUCAUGUGGAUACCUAUCGAUGUACACAUGGACAUUAUCAGACAAAAUGAACACAUGUACACUAUAAUAUAUAUGUGCACAUAGACAUCCUACUAAACAUUGGAUGGUUAAGAAACCGUUAAUUAUGGCCGAUAGAAGAAUUCAUUAAUGAGUCUUGUUUAGAUGGUUAAGAAAACCGUUAACUAUGGCCGGUAGAAGAAUUCACUAAGGUUAUAAUCCAUGUGAAUGUAACAAUUAUUUUGAAACGAUCCAUCUCAAGCUUUGAAAUUCCCAUGCAGUAUUCUUAUUGAUAAUCAUGGUGGACCAGAGUUUUUAUCAAACAUUUGUGCCUAACAUUUAGUUUGCGUUUUCCAAUAGUCCCAAUGAUGUAGUAUAUGAAUAUUAUCAAUUUCGGUGGUGGAUCACUUUGGAAUGAGCUGGUGAUGACGAGGGGUUUCAGACGCUCAUGGAAGAAGGAAAGAGGUUUACGAGUCACUUGUUUUCUUAUCAAUUUCUUUCUUAUAUACAUGGUACAUUGUUUUAAUAAUAAAGAGUGUAUGCCUAUGAAGACAUACACAUGCACACAUAUAAUUAUACACAUGUAAAUUUUGUUUUUUGCUUUAAUAAUAAAUAGUGUACACAUGUGAAGAGUGUACAUUGUUUUAAUACAUUGUUUCAAUAAGACAGAGUGUACACUUGUGAAGAUGUACACAUGUACACAUAUAAUUGUACACAUUUUGCUAUUUUUUAAAUGAGUGGCAAUUUUGUAAUUUGGUCAUCUUUUUCUUAUUAGGGUAUCCUGCGUUUCUGCAACUAAAUCUCAGAGCCGCCAUUGAUUUUCUUCGUGCAAUUUUUUUUUUUUGCGUUUUUACAUCUAGAACUUAAAAAUAUUGUAGUAAUUAACCAAUUAGAUCCAAAACCAAACAAAAACAAAUUUUUUUCAUAAUUUUCGAGUUUGACAAUUUUUAACCAAAAUGCCAUAGCUCUUAUUCGCCAAGCUUCAACCUUUCAAGAUAAUAGCAGCUUAAUCUCUUGACUUGAAAAGAUCUGUGAAAACAAACAGAACUGUAAAAA